AUCAUAUCAGGAGGGCAUCUUCUGAUCAGCUGCUUGUACCUCUCCCAAGCUUCAUAGAGGGACUCUCCCUCUUUUUGUCUGAAAGUCUGGACCUCCACCCUAAGCUU
Molecule: small nucleolar RNA, 107 nt
Organism: Arachis stenosperma
Lineage: Eukaryota; Viridiplantae; Streptophyta; Magnoliopsida; Fabales; Fabaceae
Source: RefSeq, a predicted model, not a curated record